AUUGAACGCUGGCGGAAUGCUUUACACAUGCAAGUCGAGCGGCAGCGCGGGGGCAACCCUGGCGGCGAGCGGCGAACGGGUGAGUAAUAUAUCGGAACGUACCCCGUCGUGGGGGAUAACACAGCGAAAGCUGUGCUAAUACCGCAUACGACCUGAGGGUGAAAGCGGGGGAUCGCAAGACCUCGCGCGAUGGGAGCGGCCGAUAUCGGAUUAGCUUGUUGGUGAGGUAAAGGCUCACCAAGGCGACGGUCCGUAGCUGGUCUGAGAGGACGACCAGCCACACUGGAACUGAGACACGGUCCAGACUCCUACGGGAGGCAGCAGUGGGGAAUUUUGGACAAUGGGGGCGAACCCUGAUCCAGCCAUUCCGCGUGAGUG
RNAcentral lists this ribosomal RNA (378 nucleotides) under uncultured bacterium. RNAcentral's name for it is "bacterial SSU rRNA". It matches the Rfam family "Bacterial small subunit ribosomal RNA", at positions 29 to 407 of the family's 1533-position model. The record is from RNAcentral.